CAAAAGGGCAAGCUCCAAAAUUCGCACCGAUUACACACUCUACAUGAAAUUUGUAAAAAAAAAAUUUAAUUUAAAGUUGAUUUGGCACUUUUGCUAUUGUAUUUGUCAUGACAGAUUACAAUACGGAAUCCCGUAAUAAGCAUUGUGGUCAAAUUUGUAGUUAUUAUAUGUUUUAUUUACUCUGCAUGUUUGGUAAAGCAGAGUUGUGCAAAGGAAUAAAAAGGAUCAGAAUGUCCUCAUCAAAAUGAAUGAAGAUGAGAUGACCGCAGUUGUUGAUGAUUUUGACUUAGCAGAGAAAAUACCAGAUUCAAGGGAUGGUAGUGAACGUUUACUAAUUGUUGGUUCCCCUUAUUGGAUGACACCUGAGUGUUUAAAGGGAAAGUGGUAUAAUGAAAAGUUCAUAAUUCGAGGACCCAUAUUGACAAAACUUAUUUAAAAAAACGCUAUUGAGACAGAUUUUGGAAGAUUCGAAAAGUCCAUCUUGUCAAGUCCCCAACUUCUUUUGAAUCCAAGUAUGGAAAAUAUGUGUUCCUUUCAAAUCGUAACUAUGUAUGGUGAUAAAUUUAAUUAUUAUCCUUUUUUUAAGCUACUUGUAAACAACUUUUGACUUAUUGAGUACUUAAAAUGCCUAAAGGUUUUUUUUAAAAUCUAUUUUACUCUUUUUCUUCUUUAUUACUCAAUAUGAAAGAUGUAUAUUGAGGAGAAAUAUCAAUAAAAAUUGGCUCAGAAGCAAAAUACUCUCCCUGUAUACAUCAUAUAAAUUGCGAACAAAGAAUU
Non-coding RNA from Parasteatoda tepidariorum (common house spider), 777 nucleotides. Lineage: Eukaryota; Metazoa; Arthropoda; Arachnida; Araneae; Theridiidae. The record is from RefSeq and is a predicted model, not a curated record.